This 429-nucleotide ribosomal RNA is filed under the name Bacteroidota bacterium. RNAcentral describes it as "Bacteroidetes bacterium partial 16S ribosomal RNA". It matches the Rfam family "Bacterial small subunit ribosomal RNA", at positions 355 to 776 of the family's 1533-position model. The record is from RNAcentral. Lineage: Bacteria; Pseudomonadati; Bacteroidota.
UAGGGAAUCUUCCGCAAUGGACGCAAGUCUGACGGAGCAACGCCGCGUGAGUGAAGACGGAUUUCGGUUCGUAAAACUCUGUUGUCAGAGAAGAACAGCGCAUAGAGUAACUGUUAUGCGUGUGACGGUAUCUAACCAGAAAGCCACGGCUAACUACGUGCCAGCAGCCGCGGUAAUACGUAGGUGGCAAGCGUCGUCCGGAUUUAUUGGGCGUAAAGCGAGCGCAGGCGGUCAAUUAAGUCUGAUGUGAAAGCCCCCGGCUCAACCGGGGAGGGUCAUUGGAAACUGGUUGACUUGAGUGCAGAAGAGGGGAGUGGAAUUCCACGUGUAGCGGUGAAAUGCGUAGAUAUAUGGAGGAACAACAGUGGCGAAGGCGACUCUCUGGUAUGAAACUGACGAUGAGGUUCGAAAGCGUGGGUAGCAAACAGG